UGGGGAAUUUUGGACAAUGGGCGAAAGCCUGAUCCAGCAAUGCCGCGUGUGUGAAGAAGGCCUUCGGGUUGUAAAGCACUUUUGUCCGGAAAGAAAUCCUUGGCUCUAAUACAGUCGGGGGAUGACGGUACCGGAAGAAUAAGCACCGGCUAACUACGUGCCAGCAGCCGCGGUAAUACGUAGGGUGCAAGCGUUAAUCGGAAUUACUGGGGCGUAAAGCGUGCGCAGGCGGUUUGCUAAGACCGAUGUGAAAUCCCCGGGCUCAACCUGGGAACUGCAUUGGUGACUGGCAGGCUAGAGUAUGGCAGAGGGGGGUAGAAUUCCACGUGUAGCAGUGAAAUGCGUAGAGAUGUGGAGGAAUACCGAUGGCGAAGGCAGCCCCCUGGGCCAAUACUGACGCUCAUGCACGAAAGCGUGGGGAGCAAACAGGAUUAGAUACCCUGGUAGUCCACGCCCUAAACGAUGUCAACUAGUUGUUGGGGAUUCAUUUCCUUAGUACGUAGCUAACGCGUGAAGUUGACCGCCUGGGGAGUACGGUCGCAAGAUUAAAACUCAAUGAAUUGACGGGGUCAUAGCUGUUUCCU
Molecule: ribosomal RNA, 584 nt
Filed under: uncultured bacterium
Lineage: Bacteria
Description: partial 16S ribosomal RNA
Rfam family: Bacterial small subunit ribosomal RNA
Source: RNAcentral